CAAUAAUAAAACCAGUGCUGAAUUGGUGAAUUGCGGAAUGAACAGUGCGGGCGAAGGGGUGAGUUUUGGAUCAAAUCCGAGCCGUCCAGCCUCCGUCAAGUCCAGCCUCCGUCAAGUCCAGCCUCCGUCAAGGAAUUCUGCCAAGAGCCGUUAACAGACAAGUCCAGUUGCAGUAGCAACGACUACACCACAUUUCAAAUAUAUCAAGAAAUAAUCGUAUUCAAGUGCCCAGCGAUUACAAACGCAUGUUUUAUUGAAAAACAUUUUUGCUUUGUUGGAUUGGAAAGUGGUGAAAGAUGGAGAGAGUUGAUGCUAAAAUCGCGACGUAUUCAAAUCCACACAGGUGCACCUUGGGCAGUGUCCCAUUAGGAAUCUGGCCCGUCCUGGGACACACAAACGCACAAUUUAAAAAGUGUUAUUUACGAAUCCAGUAUUAAUGUAUUACAGUUGUGUGGCCUCGGGUGGCCCCAGGGGUCUAAAGUGCUGCUAACCGUGCAUUUGUGCUGUUGUAGAAAGGGGCUGAAAGGCUCCACCAGCAAAAUCUUUAACCCCAAUCUUUACCAGUUGUCUCAACCAAACAAAGCAUCUAAUAAAAAAUGAUAUCACACAUGUAUCAAGUGAAACAAAUUAAGAACAACGGCAAAGUCGAAAAUAAUAAACAUCCAGGUUGCCUAGUGGAAGUGAGGGGGAAGUGAGUGAUAUAGAUAUUUACUCUCAAAGUCCUUAACGACCGAGCUGAGUAUUAAAGGGCAAUAGUCAUUUAGUUCAGUUCCCUUAGCAACAUGUGUAUAUGAACAAUGAUGGACUUAUUGAGGCGUGUGGGACAAAAUAUGAGGAAAGAGAUUGUUUCUAAAUAGUCCCACCAGUUGGCACAGGCUUGUCAAGUCAGGUAUAUGUUUCCUGAUGUGUAUUGAAUCAGCCCCUGCUGGGUUUACUUUACUCAGAAACAUUGCAAAGAAAGCACACAAAUAUUUAGCUAAAUGUAAUACAACCCAGUGUCCAAAGCCUGUGUACGUAGGUCUUGCAUUGGUUUUACCUAUGAAAAUAGUUGGUUUAUUGAAAAUAUUAUUUAUAUGAAUAAAAACAAAGCAUACUUCUUUUGUGAAAUAAAGUGUUCCUUGGUUUAAUGUUCCUUGGGUCCUCCUCCUCUUCCUCCUAUGGACACCGAGGGAGGGCUGGUGUUUUUGGUCCGUGCCAUCCUGGACUAGCGUGGUCGGUUGGGGGGUCUCCAGUACCUCGCGGAUUGGGAGGGGUACGGUCUAGAGGAGCGGUGCUGGGUUCCGGCGAGGGACGACAUCGAUCCCUCCUAGCUCUGAGAUUUCCACCGUCGGCGUCUGGAGAGCCCUGCGCCACGCCCUGUCGUCCAUGGUGGCGGUCGACGUCACCGGCCUUCUAGCUGCCACCGUCCCUGAUCUCAUUCAUUAUCCAUUCCUGGUCUGGGUUUUGCUUUGUCCCCAUCUACACACCUAGUUACCAUUAGUCGUUAUAUGUGUGUAUAUAGUUUCCUUUGAGUCCCCUCUCAUUGUUCGUUGUUGUUCCCUGUUUUGUGUUUGCCAUUUUACUGUCUGCUGUGUUACUCUUUAUUGAGUUGUCCUGAGUUGGAUUAUUGCUGUAUUCAGUUUACUCUUGAUGGGACUCAUGCCUAAGUGCCCUUUUCUGUACAAUAAAUCAUGGAAUUGAG
Long non-coding RNA from Esox lucius (northern pike), 1681 nucleotides. The record is from Ensembl. Lineage: Eukaryota; Metazoa; Chordata; Actinopteri; Esociformes; Esocidae.